UUUUAAUAUGGCAGAUUAGUGCUAUAGAUCUAAAAUCUAUAAAUAAAGUUCUCUUUUAUUAAAA
Molecule: transfer RNA, 64 nt
Filed under: Dinoponera lucida
Lineage: Eukaryota; Metazoa; Arthropoda; Insecta; Hymenoptera; Formicidae
Description: tRNA-Leu
Source: RNAcentral